GGAGGAAAGCAGGGGAUCGCAAGACCUUGCGCUUUUGGAGCGGCCGAUGUCUGAUUAGCUAGUUGGUGAGGUAAAGGCUUACCAAGGCUUCGAUCAGUAGCUGGUCUGAGAGGACGACCAGCCACACUGGGACUGAGACACGGCCCAGACUCCUACGGGAGGCAGCAGUGGGGAAUUUUGGACAAUGGGGGCAACCCUGAUCCAGCCAUGCCGCGUGAGUGAAGAAGGCCUUCGGGUUGUAAAGCUCUUUCAGCCGGAACGAAACGGUCACAGCUAAUACCUGUGACUACUGACGGUACCGGAAGAAGAAGCACCGGCUAACUACGUGCCAGCAGCCGCGGUAAUACGUAGGGUGCGAGCGUUAAUCGGAAUUACUGGGCGUAAAGCGUGCGCAGGCGGUUUUGUAAGUCAGAUGUGAAAUCCCCGGGCUUAACCUGGGAACUGCGUUUGAAACUACAAAGCUAG
RNAcentral lists this ribosomal RNA (465 nucleotides) under uncultured beta proteobacterium. RNAcentral's name for it is "bacterial SSU rRNA". It matches the Rfam family "Bacterial small subunit ribosomal RNA", at positions 198 to 644 of the family's 1533-position model. The record is from RNAcentral. Lineage: Bacteria; Pseudomonadati; Pseudomonadota; Betaproteobacteria.